UACGAGGGGGGCAAGCGUUGUUCGGAAUUAUUGGGCGUAAAGGGUGCGUAGGCGGUUUGGUAAGUCUUAUGUGAAAUCUACAGGCUCAACUUGUAGUCUGCAUGAGAAACUGCCGGGCUUGAGUAUGGGAGAGGUGAGUGGAAUUCCUGGUGUAGCGGUGAAAUGCGUAGAUAUCAGGAGGAACACCUGUGGCGAAGGCGGGUCUCUGGGCCGAUAUUGACGCUGAGGAGCGAAAGCGUGGGGAGCGAACAGG
RNAcentral lists this ribosomal RNA (253 nucleotides) under uncultured bacterium. Its description in RNAcentral is "partial 16S ribosomal RNA". It matches the Rfam family "Bacterial small subunit ribosomal RNA", at positions 524 to 776 of the family's 1533-position model. The record is from RNAcentral.